This 468-nucleotide ribosomal RNA is filed under the name uncultured bacterium. RNAcentral describes it as "partial 16S ribosomal RNA". It matches the Rfam family "Bacterial small subunit ribosomal RNA", at positions 28 to 507 of the family's 1533-position model. The record is from RNAcentral.
GAUGAACGCUGGCGGCGCGCCUAACACAUGCAAGUCGAACGGUUAAAGCACCUUUUAGGUGUGUAUAAAGUGGCGAACGGCUGAGUAACACGUGGGCAACCUGCCUCCUCUUGGGGAUAGCCUCGGGAAACCGAGGAUAAUACCCGAUACUUCAAUGUGGCCGCAUGACGACAUUGAGAAAGCUUUUGCGGAGAAGGAUGGGCCCGCGGCCUGUUAGCUUGUUGGUGGGGUAGAGGCCUACCAAGGCAAUGAUGGGUAGCUGGGUUGAGAGACCGACCAGCCAGAUUGGGACUGAGACACGGCCCAGACUCCUACGGGAGGCAGCAGUGGGGAAUCUUGCACAAUGGGCGAAAGCCUGAUGCAGCGACGCCGCGUGCGGGACGAAGGCCUUCGGGUUGUAAACCGCUUUCAGCAGGGACGAGGCGAUAAGUGACGGUACCUGCAGAAGAAGCCCCGGCUAACUACGUG